This 1236-nucleotide ribosomal RNA is filed under the name metagenome. RNAcentral describes it as "bacterial LSU rRNA". It matches the Rfam family "Bacterial large subunit ribosomal RNA", at positions 1564 to 2808 of the family's 2925-position model. The record is from RNAcentral.
UGAAUACGAGAUGCUACGGCUUCGAAGCAGUCUAUGUCAUACUUCCAAGAAAAGCUUGCACUGUCAUAAACAAAUAAUGCCUGUACCAUAACCGACACAGGUGGGUAGGUAGAGUAUACUAAGGGGCGCGAGAUAACUCUCUCUAAGGAACUCGGCAAAAUGACUCCGUAACUUCGGGAGAAGGAGUGCCUUAUUUUAUAAGGUUGCAAUAACAAGAUCCAAGCAACUGUUUACCAAAAACACAGGUCUCCGCUAAGUCGUAAGACGAUGUAUGGGGGCUGACGCCUGCCCAGUGCCAGAAGGUUAAAGAAGUUGGUUAGCAUUAGCGAAGCUGAUAACUGAAGCCCUGGUGAACGGCGGCCGUAACAAUAACGGUCCUAAGGUAGCGAAAUUCCUUGUCGGGUAAGUUCCGACCCGCACGAAAGGCGUAAUGAUUUGGAUACUGUCUCGGAGAGGGGCUCGGUGAAAUAGACUUGUCUGUGAAGAUGCGGACUACCUGCACCAGGACAGAAAGACCCUAUGAAGCUUUACUGUAACUUGAGAUUGAAAUUGGACUUUAUUUGCGCAGUAUAGGUGGGAGACGUUGAAAAUAUUCUUGCGGGAAUAUUGGAGUCAUCAGUGAGAUACCACUCUUAUAAUGUUAGAUUUCUAACUUUGUAUCAUUAUCUGGUCAAAGAACAGUCUCAGGCGGGCAGUUUGACUGGGGCGGUCGCCUCCCAAACGGUAACGGAGGCGCACAAAGGUUUCCUCUGAACGUGUAGAAAUCGUAUCUAGAGUGUAAAGGCAUAAGGAAGCUUGACUGUGAGACCUACAAGUCGAGCAGGGACGAAAGUCGGUCUUAGUGAUCUGACGGUGCUGAGUGGAAAGGCCGUCACUCAACGGAUAAAAGUUACUCUAAGGAUAACAGGCUGAUCUCCCCCAAGAGUUCACAUCGACGGGGAGGUUUGGCACCUCGAUGUCGGCUCAUCGCAUCCUGGGGCGGUAGUACGUCCCAAGGGUUGGGCUGUUCGCCCAUGAAAGCGGUACGCGAGCUGGGUUCAGAACGUCGUGAGACAGUUCGGUCCAUAUCCGGUGUAGGCGUUAGAAUAUUGAGAGGAGCCUUCUUUAGUACGAGAGGACCGAGAAGGACAUACCUCUGGUGUACCAGUUAUCGUGCCAACGGUAAACGCUGGGUAGCUAUGUAUGGAGAGGAUAACCGCUGAAAGCAUCUAAGUGGGAAGCCCACCUCAAGAUAAG